GGAUGCCUUGGCACUAGAAGCCGAUGAAGGACGUUACUAACGACGAUAUGCUUUGGGGAGCUGUAAGUAAGCUUUGAUCCAGAGAUUUCCGAAUGGGGAAACCCAGCAUGAGUUAUGUCAUGUUAUCGAUAUGUGAAUACAUAGCAUAUCAGAAGGCACACCCGGAGAACUGAAACAUCUUAGUACCCGGAGGAAGAGAAAGAAAAUUCGAUUCCCUUAGUAGCGGCGAGCGAAACGGGAAGAGCCCAAACCAACAAGCUUGCUUGUUGGGGUUGUAGGACACUCUAUACGGAGUUACAAAGGACGACAUUAGACGAAUCAUCUGGAAAGAUGAAUCAAAGAAGGUAAUAAUCCUGUAGUCGAAAAUGUUGUCUCUCUUGAGUGGAUCCUGAGUACGACGGAGCACGUGAAAUUCCGUCGGAAUCUGGGAGGACCAUCUCCUAAGGCUAAAUACUCUCUAGUGACCGAUAGUGAACCAGUACCGUGAGGGAAAGGUGAAAAGCACCCCGGAAGGGGAGUGAAAUAGAACCUGAAACCGUGUGCUUACAAGUAGUCAGAGCCCGUUAAUGGGUGAUGGCGUGCCUUUUGUAGAAUGAACCGGCGAGUUACGAUUUGAUGCAAGGUUAAGCAGUAAAUGUGGAGCCGUAGCGAAAGCGAGUCUGAAUAGGGCGUUUAGUAUUUGGUCGUAGACCCGAAACCAGGUGAUCUACCCUUGGUCAGGUUGAAGUUCAGGUAACACUGAAUGGAGGACCGAACCGACUUACGUUGAAAAGUGAGCGGAUGAACUGAGGGUAGCGGAGAAAUUCCAAUCGAACCUGGAGAUAGCUGGUUCUCUCCGAAAUAGCUUUAGGGCUAGCCUCAAGUGAUGAUUAUUGGAGGUAGAGCACUGUUUGGACGAGGGGCCCCUCUCGGGUUACCGAAUUCAGACAAACUCCGAAUGCCAAUUAAUUUAACUUGGGAGUCAGAACAUGGGUGAUAAGGUCCGUGUUCGAAAGGGAAACAGCCCAGACCACCAGCUAAGGUCCCAAAAUAUAUGUUAAGUGGAAAAGGAUGUGGCGUUGCCCAGACAACUAGGAUGUUGGCUUAGAAGCAGCCAUCAUUUAAAGAGUGCGUAAUAGCUCACUAGUCGAGUGACACUGCGCCGAAAAUGUACCGGGGCUAAACAUAUUACCGAAGCUGUGGAUUGUCCUUUGGACAAUGGUAGGAGAGCGUUCUAAGGGCGUUGAAGCAUGAUCGUAAGGACAUGUGGAGCGCUUAGAAGUGAGAAUGCCGGUGUGAGUAGCGAAAGACGGGUGAGAAUCCCGUCCACCGAUUGACUAAGGUUUCCAGAGGAAGGCUCGUCCGCUCUGGGUUAGUCGGGUCCUAAGCUGAGGCCGACAGGCGUAGGCGAUGGAUAACAGGUUGAUAUUCCUGUACCACCUAUAAUCGUUUUAAUCGAUGGGGGGACGCAGUAGGAUAGGCGAAGCGUGCGAUUGGAUUGCACGUCUAAGCAGUAAGGCUGAGUAUUAGGCAAAUCCGGUACUCGUUAAGGCUGAGCUGUGAUGGGGAGAAGACAUUG
This 1558-nucleotide ribosomal RNA is filed under the name Staphylococcus aureus. Its description in RNAcentral is "partial 23S ribosomal RNA". It matches the Rfam family "Bacterial large subunit ribosomal RNA", at positions 26 to 1581 of the family's 2925-position model. Lineage: Bacteria; Bacillati; Bacillota; Bacilli; Caryophanales; Staphylococcaceae. The record is from RNAcentral.